RNAcentral lists this ribosomal RNA (393 nucleotides) under Aegla uruguayana complex sp. 5 Barao do Triunfo Grande. RNAcentral's name for it is "partial large subunit ribosomal RNA". RNAcentral also lists the same sequence under 3 other names. The record is from RNAcentral. Lineage: Eukaryota; Metazoa; Arthropoda; Malacostraca; Decapoda; Aeglidae.
UUUUAAUUGAAGACUUGUAUGAAUGGUUGAACGAGAAAAUAACUGUCUCUUUAAAAAAUCUUGAACUUUACUUUUAAGUGAAAAGGCUUAAAUAAUUUUAAGGGACGAUAAGACCCUAUAAAUCUUUAUAUUAUUUUUCUUUAAAUUUCAAAUUAUAUAUUAAAAGAAAUAAAAGAAAAAAAUAUUAUAUUGGGGAGAUAAAAAUAUAAUUUUUAACUGUUUUAAAAAUAAAACAAUAAUUUUUGAUUAAAAAAAAAAUGAUCCUUUUUAAAGAUUUAAAGAUUAAGUUACUUUAGGGAUAACAGCGUAAUUUUUUUUGAGAGUUCUUAUCGAAAUAAAAGUUUGCGACCUCGAUGUUGAAUUAAAAUAUCCUUAUAAGUGCAGAAGCUAUAA